This 75-nucleotide antisense RNA is filed under the name Amycolatopsis saalfeldensis. Its description in RNAcentral is "ASpks TB sRNA". It matches the Rfam family "ASpks TB sRNA". The record is from Rfam by way of RNAcentral. Lineage: Bacteria; Bacillati; Actinomycetota; Actinomycetes; Pseudonocardiales; Pseudonocardiaceae.
CUUCACCGAGCCCAGCAGCAGCGGCCGGUCCUCGUCCCGGUCCCGGCCGUAGGUGGCCAGCAGCGCCUGUGCCUC